Molecule: ribosomal RNA, 250 nt
Filed under: uncultured bacterium
Lineage: Bacteria
Description: partial 16S ribosomal RNA
Rfam family: Bacterial small subunit ribosomal RNA
Source: RNAcentral
GGAAACUAGUGGCGAACGGCUGAGUAACGCGUAGGUGACCUACCCCGUAGUGUGGAAUAACUGCCCGAAAGGGUAGCUAAUACCGCAUGUUGAGCCGACAUCAAUGUCGUCUCCAAAGCAGAAAUGCGCUAUGGGCGGGGCCUGCGUUCGAUUAGCUAGUUGGUGGGGUAAUGGCUCACCAAGGCGACGAUCGAUAGGUGGUCUGAGAGGACGAUCACCCAGACUGGGACUGAGACACGGCCCAGACUCC